GAUGAACGCUGGCGGCGUGCCUAAUACAUGCAAGUCGAGCGAACGGACGAGAAGCUUGCUUCUCUGAUGUUAGCGGCGGACGGGUGAGUAACACGUGGAUAACCUACCUAUAAGACUGGGUUAACUUCGGGAAACCGGAGCUAAUACCGGAUAAUAUUUUGAACCGCAUGGUUCAAAAGUGAAAGACGGUCUUGCUGUCACUUAUAGAUGGAUCCGCGCUGCAUUAGCUAGUUGGUAAGGUAACGGCUUACCAAGGCAACGAUGCAUAGCCGACCUGAGAGGGUGAUCGGCCACACGGGAACGGAGACAAGGUCCAGACUCCUAAGGGAGACAGCAGUAGGGAAUCUUCCGCAGUGGGCGAAAGCCUGACGGAGCAACGCCGCGUGAGUGAUGAAGGUCUUCGGAGCGUAAAACUCUGUGAUUAGGGAAUCACAUAUGUGUAAGUAACUGUGCACAUCUUGACGGUUCCUAAUCAGAAAGCCACGGCUAACUACGUG
Molecule: ribosomal RNA, 497 nt
Filed under: uncultured bacterium
Lineage: Bacteria
Description: partial 16S ribosomal RNA
Rfam family: Bacterial small subunit ribosomal RNA
Source: RNAcentral